This 18392-nucleotide long non-coding RNA is filed under the name Setaria italica (foxtail millet). Its description in RNAcentral is "long non-coding RNA (SITA_LNC006383)". The record is from RNAcentral. Lineage: Eukaryota; Viridiplantae; Streptophyta; Magnoliopsida; Poales; Poaceae.
CCGCGGGCUCAUGCAGGCCAGGCUGCCGAAGCUCACGUAGAGCACCGACGCCGGCGGCCACGCGUCUAGCCACUCCAGGCAGCUCCGGUCCUGGCGCAGCAGGCUGCUUUCGCCGGCGGGGGAGAACUUGUGCAGCGGGCCGAUGUCGAACACCGGCACGGCGAGGUCCUGCCGGAGGCCCUCCAGCUCGCGGCGCUCGAGCGCGUCGAACGUGUUGAGUAUGAGGCCCGACGAGCCCUUCACCGCCGCCACGGCGCGCGCCAUCAUCUCGCACAGCACCUCGUGGCCGUCCUUGCCGAUGUCCAUCAGGUCGCGCACUCGGUACGGUGGCAGCUCCACCACCGGCGUGUCGAGCUGUGAAUCUGCAGGGACGAAACACGAGCACGUUGAUCCAUGGAUCACGUGGGCAUGAACUUGGUAGGCUACAAACAAGUACUUGAAGAGGAGGGCGUGCCUUGCACGGGGAGGUAGCCUUUCUCGCAUAGCAUCGGGUAGGCGGUGAAGCACGCGAAGGAGACCGCGCUGCUGGUGCGCAGCGCCAGCGUGGGUACGCCGAGGCAAUUGGCCGCCUGGAAAAUCGGCAGCAGGUGCGCAUCGGCGACGAGGCACGCGACGGCGUCCCUGGAGUACUCCUCCAGGACGGCGGCGAGGAGGUCCCGGAAGGCGGCCUCGCACGCGCCACCGAUCGAGACGAUAUGCGCUACGACGUCCUCGAUGGCGACCGGGUCGGGGCCGGACACGACGUCGGGGACGGGGACGAAGCGGUAGUGCGGGUGGCGCGCCGGGUCCGGGGCGUUGAAGUGGGUGUGGAAGACGGUUACGGCGAAGCCGCGCGCGUGGAGGACGCCGGCGAGCCGGAACAUGGGGUUGAUGUGGCCCUGGUACGGGAGCGGGAACAGGAGCACGUGCCGGUGGCGCCCACCGUGGUUGGCGUUGCUCUCUGCGGCCAUGGUUGGCGCCGGUGGUGGCGUCAUCGCUUUGCUGAGUGUGAGCUGUGCCGUGUGAACUGUGAAGGCAAGUAUGGGGGAGAAACGGUAGCCAGUAGGAGGAGAGUACACUGGUACGGGCAGGGCGAGAUCAGCGGGACCCAGCAACAACCUACGGCCAGUUUGUCCUUGACGGCCAGUGAACGCUGCUGCUCUGUUCUCUGCUCGUACAACCUACGGGGUUGUCAGUGGUUGUGUUUGCAACCAAUAUUUUUUUUUAAACUUAUUUGCAACAACAUAUAAUGUUAGUUUUAAUCCAUAGUAAACAUGCUUGGCUAUAUUAUAUACUACAAUAUCGGAUAUACAUCGUAAUUCAAUGUUGGUUCCUUCUUGCUCAGUCAACCGGGGGAAAGUGGGUGGAAAAACCCUUUUGCAUACAAAAUACCAUAGGAGGGGAUUAAAACUUGUGGUAAUGCACAUAUGGGUAUUUUGGUCUUUUCCUAUCAAAUUUAACACGGUAGUGACAUAGAAGGUAUAAAACUUGGAGGUGGUGUCAAAUAAGGAACAUUAAAAUUUUAGAUGUCAUGUAGGGAAUUGGUCUAUCUUCUAAUAUCUUAAGUCUGAGUAAGACACCCCUUCUAAUAACUCAAAAAACGAGAGAGUAUUUUUGUUGCGACGUGAAACACGCAGGCUGAUUCUGACGGAUAUCGUUCGGUCGUGGGCUGAUCGAGUUGCCUCUUGUGUCUUUUUUUUUCUUUCUUUUUUUGCGAGCGAGCGCGUGUGUGUUUUGAAGAACUUUUUGCGCGUGUGUUGGGUUACCAAACGAGCUGCCUGCCGGUGCCGUCACCCAUCGGGGCAUGCCGACCAUGACGCGAUCGGCAGGCGUAUCACUAUUCUAUUUCGCGGAACGGCAGAUGAUUCCAUGAAGGAUAAGAACAUGAUCUCGAUUCCCGAUCACCUGUCGGGCUGUCACUCCACGGAUCAUGUGCCUGCGCGGAUGCGCCUGUGUCUCGUGCUGACUUUGUUUUGUCGCCCCCUCCUGACAGCGCAUCUUUGCCAUUGUUUAAGUGUAAUCUUCCAAACAUACCGAUUAGCCAUGGCCGGCAAGGAAAUAUCUUAACAAUUUAGUAAGAUGUUUAAAAAAGAUAAAUUCUUCCAUUUUAAAAUGCCUUAAGUCCGGAAUUUGCACCGCCAGGGACUGAGGUGUCCCCAUAACACACCAACCACAAAUUAUAAAUUGUAGGUUCCAAAAUAAUAUGAAAACUUGAAAAGUAGAGCCUACUUAGUCGAGCCACAUACUCCAUCCGUUCUAAAUUGUAAGUCGUUUUGAUCUUUUUAGAUUCGUAGAUAUUAUUAUGCAUCUAGACAUACGCUAUAUUUAAAUGCAUAGCAAACUAUGCACCUAUAAAAUUAAAACAACCUGCAAUUUGGAAUGGAGGGAGUAUUUUAGUUUUAGAUGAUUGUGUGCUGAUGAACUUGUCAUUCAUCCGACUGUCGAGUUAUACUCGUUGCGCAACAUAUUUUGAAGAAAUUAAAUCAUUUUUUUCAGAAAUUCGACUAGAGAUGACUUCUAUACUAAAAUUUCAGUUUUUGAAUGGGAUGAUUGUUUUUAAAUUUUGUGACUGAUGGUUUUAAAUUUCUUGCGUUUGGUGACAUUUGAAUGCCGAAAUCCAUGAUUCGGAACAAAUAAAAUCUGACUGACAGACUGACAACACACCAAGCUAAGUUUCAAGUAAAUUUCACACUCAGGCCUUGUUUAGUUGCCCGAUUUUGGACAACCAAAAUCACUGCGCUAGCACUGUAGCAUACUGUAGCGUUUCGUUUGUAUUUGUGAAUUAUUGUCCAAAUAUUGACUAAUUAGGCUCAAAAGAUUCGUCUCGCAAAGUACAACCAAACCGAACAAUUAGUUUUUGAUUUCGUCUACAUUCAGUACUCCAUGUAUGUACCGUAAGUUUGAUGUGAUGGGGAAUCUUCUUUUUGCAUAGUGCUAAAGUUGGGAUUUUGGGGUAACUAAACAAGGCCUGAACUCUGAGACAGUUUAUACUAUUUAUGUUAAGUGAAAACUUUUAAGCUUCGAGCAGAGUUCAGGCAUUAAAAACACAAACUAUGCACUUCGCCAAAAGUACUACUUCUACAGGCUACAGAGACAUCAUAUGCGUGACAAGCUUAUCAAUGGCAAGGCACGACGACCCGCCCUUGCCGGUGCACUCCGCUGACGCCUUCUUCAGCUCGCCGGCCCUCGUUCUCAUCCCGGCACCGUCGCUCUCAGUCAUGAGACGCCGGAUUGCUGCCUCCACGCUUCCCCUCUCGAGCUCGCCGGACACCUCGAAGCCCACCUCCCACACGUGCUCCACGUACCUCGCGUUCCCCAUCUGGUCGGCGAAGUAGGGGCGGCACAGCAUCGGCACCCCCUCGCAGAUGCUCUCCGUCGUCGAGUUCCAGCCGUUGUGCGUCCAGAACCCGCCCACGGCGCGGUGGCGCAGCACCUCCUCCUGCGGCGCCCACCCCACCACCAUGCCGCGCCCGCGCGUCGCGGCCUCAAACCUCUCCGGCAAAUGGUUCUCCGCGCAGCCGCCGACAAAGCCCGGCCGGACCACCCAGAGGAACGGCACGCAACUGCCGGCGAUGCCCCACGCCGUCUCCUCCAGGUCCCGCGGGCUCAUGCAGGCCAGGCUGCCGAAGCUCACGUAGAGCACCGACGCCGGCGGCCACGCGUCUAGCCACUCCAGGCAGCUCCGGUCCUGGCGCAGCAGGCUGCUUUCGCCGGCGGGGGAGAACUUGUGCAGCGGGCCGAUGUCGAACACCGGCACGGCGAGGUCCUGCCGGAGGCCCUCCAGCUCGCGGCGCUCGAGCGCGUCGAACGUGUUGAGUAUGAGGCCCGACGAGGCCUUCACCGCCGCCACGGCGCCCGCUAUCAUCUCGCACAGCACCUCGUGGCCGUCCUUGCCGAUGCCCAUCAGGUCGCGCACUCGGCAUGGCGGCAGCUCCACCACCGGCGUGUCGAGCUGUGAAUCUGCAGGGACGAAACACGAACACGUUGAUCCAUGGAUCACGUGGGCAUGAACUUGGUAGGCUACAAACAAGUACUUGAAGAGGAGGGCAUGCCUUGCACGGGGAGGUAGCCUUUCUCGCAUAGCAUCGGGUAGGCGGUGAAGCACGCGAAGGAGACCGCGCUGCCGGUGCGCAGCGCCAGCGUGGGUACGCCGAGGCAAUUGGCCGCCUGGAAAAUCGGCAGCAGGUGCGUGUCGGCGACGAGGCACGUGACGGCGUCCCUGGAGUACUCCUCCAGGACGGCGGCGAGGCGGUCCCGGAAGGCGGCCUCGCACGCGCCGCCGAUCGAGACGAUAUGCGCUACGACGUCCUCGAUGGCGACGGGCGCGGGGCCGGACAUGCCGUCGGGGACGGGGACGAAGCGGUAGUGCGGGUGGCUCGCCGGGUCCGGGGCGUUGAAGUGGGUGUGGAAGACGGUUACGGCGAAGCCGCGGGCGUGGAGGACGCCGGCGAGCCGGAACAUGGGGUUGAUGUGGCCCUGGUACGGGAGCGGGAACAGGAGCACGUGCCGGUGGCGCCCGCCGUGGUUGGCGUUGCUCUCUGCGGCCAUGGUUGGCGCCGGUGGUGGUGUCAUCGCUUUGCUGAGCGUGAGCUGUGCCGUGUGAACUGUGAAGGCAAGGAUGGGGGAGAAACGGUAGCCAGUAGGAGGUUAGUACACUGGUACGGGCAGGGCGAGAUCAGCGGGACCCAGCAACAACCUUCGGGGUUGUGACUUGUGAGUGGCUGUUUGUCCUUGACGGCCAGUGAACGCUGCUGCUCUGUUCUGCUCGUACAACCUACGGGGUUGUCAGUGGCUGUUAUGUGUUUGCAACCACUUUUUUUUUAACUUAUUUGCAACCACGUAUAAUGUUGGUUUUAUUCCAUCGUAAACAUGCUUGGCCGUAUUAUAUACUACAAUAUUGGAUAUACAUCGUAACUCAACGUUGGUUCCUUAUUGCUCAGUCAAUCAGGAAAGUGGGUGGAAAAAUCCUUUUGCAUACAAAAUGCCAUAGGAGGAGAUUAAAACUUGUGGUAAUGCACAUAUGGGUAUUUUUGUCUUUUCCUAUCAAAUUGUGUCAUAGAAGGUAUAAAACUUGGAGGCGGUGUCAAAUAAGAAAUAUUAAAAUUAGAUGUUAUAUAGAAAAUUGGUCUAUCUUCUAGUGUCACGCAGGGAAUUUUCUCUAGUUAAACACGUCCCUUCUAAUAAUUCCAAAACGAGAGAGAGUAUUUUUGUUGUGACGUGAAACACGCAGGCUGAUUCUGACGGAUAUCGUUCGGUCGGAAAAAAAAUUAGACGCAGGACUCCUGCAACCGAGUCUUGGUGCAGGACGGCCUCAAAUCACGACGCGUGGGCAGCCUUCCCGAUCGAACGCCCGCACCCCUCGCGCGGAAGACGAGCCAUCGCUGAAGAAGAAAAAAAUAGACGAGCCAGGAAGACGAGCCCCUCGCGCGCGUGCCUCUCAAGCCGGCGGAAGAUGAGCCGGCGCUUAGCAGGGCUUCUCUGCGCCUGCAGGAGCUCCUCUCGCCUCAUGGCUCCAGAACGAAGGGCUACAAAAUCUGUUGCCACAGCUUCUUUAAUUCGUUUCACAAACAAAAUCCGGGAUAUUUCAUAAUCUGAAAAAGUUUAAAUCUAAAGAGUGGUAUGUGGAAGUGAUGUGUACAAAAGAAUGACAGGUCUAUGAAGUGUGAUGUGAUCCUUAUCAAACAAUAUAAAUGAGUUACAUGGUACCAACUCACAUAAUACAAAUCCAAAUAAAAUUAUGUGUAACACAACAAAGGUUACAUGCUUUCUUGAUUUGGCAUUCCACCAAAAUUUAAUUUUUUAACAGCCGGCUGUAAUGUGGCAGCUCGAUCAACUCCAAGUAAGAGAUUUGUAUAUCCUCCUUGCACAUAAGGAGCACCCACAGUUGAAGAAUCUCUGUACAUAUUAAAUUGUGGCAUUAUGGUAUUAGCAUAGCCACCUUGGAUCAAUGGAGCAGCCAUGGACGAAGAUUGUCCAUACACAUCAUUUGCAAAGUUUGGCAUCAUACUGUUAACAUCCUUUUCACCAUCAUUAAGAUCCUGUACCAAAUCAAAUAUGAAAAGUGGAUAUAGUCCAACACAUAUGACUUACGAUAAAUAGUUGCAUACGAGGAAUUCAAAUAUGAAAAGUGGAUAUAGUCCAACACAUAUGACUUACGAUAAAUUGAUCUAGAUUAGCACCUUCAUAUACUUCGGAUCUAUUUUCUACUGCAGUUAUUGAAUGUUGUCCUAUAUUCAAACAUAUCAAGUUAACUAUACUGGCAUAUAAUAGAUAAAAACAUGUAGAAUUGAUAUGAGUAAUACCUUUCUUUUUACCACUUUUCUUUUUUUCCUUUUAUUCUUUUCAAGGGAGAUGGUCCCUCGUUUACUCUUUGGACCUUUUAUCAUCCGAGGAAUUCUAAAUGAUAUUUUACCUCUCAAUGUGUUUGUAACACAGUUUGUUGAAACUAGAGGGACCUCACUGGCUUUUUGUUGCAUCCUGCUUAGAGAAUUAUCUGCUUCCAAGUCCAACUUAUCUAUGGCAUUCUCCAAAUCAACAAGAAGUUCCUUGGACAAUGAACACUUCAAUGCAAUGGAUGUCGCCUUUCGUGCAAUACGUGCAGCAUGCGUUUUCAAGCUUUCCUUUUCAAAUCCUUAUUUCUCAAUAUAGAAUCCUCUCUUUGCAUAUUUUGUCCAUCUAUUCAAUAUGUAUUGAGAUGGCAACAAGAAAAUAUCGUUUGCAUUGAAGACUUUGAGGGCAAGCUUGCACAGUAAACCUAUAUGUGGAUAUCAUAUUUCAUUACUUUCUAUUAUAAACUAUACUAUUGCAAUAAAGAUUUUUGUACGUACCUAUGGAUUCGUAUUUUCUGCAAGCACAUGUAAUGGUACUAUCUGCUUUGUUGAACACAACCGUUGCUCCAUAAUCAGAGUACAUAUGUGUAACCGUAUAUGUCAAAAUCGACCCCUCAGUGUGUAACACCUUAUGAGAGAAUGAAAAUUGUUCAUUAAAUUCUUCUUGAAACUCUUUAUACAUCCGGCUUGUAUAUGACUCGACCACAGUCUUCAAAAGAGGUAUGUGUGCAACUGGACUCUUUCGACGUGAUUGAAAAUCUUCAUCCAACUCGUUAUUACGAAGACUAGCAGAAACCUUGUCACAUUCUUCAAAUAGUUCCGAAAUACCCAAUUUCCUACGAAACCUUUUCUUGAAUACGUUAUUCAUACCUUCGCUUCUUUGAGUGGAGUUCAUAUCAGCUGUAAAUGAGUCAUGGUAUACAGCAGCCCACUUUAUCCUCUAAUCAUAUAGGUUUAACAUCCAUUCAUUAUCCUUAAGGUUGUACUCACACAACAAUUCAUCCCACUUCUUGUUAAAGUAAAACUCAGAUCUAUCUUCAUAGACACAUCCCUUAAAAUCAGGAAGAAAAUUCUCUGGAUGCUGCUCGAUUACGUGACCGAGAUGUUUAGCAGCAUUUAGAUAAAUAUGCCACAAACAAAGACGGUGGCUUGUGUUUGGGAAUACAUAAGCAAUUGCACCUGCCAUGGCCGCAUCUUGAUCACUGAAAAUUGUGCUGGGAUGCUUACCUGACAUUGCUGUUAAAAAGGUUUCAAAUAGCCAAACAAAUGAUUCAAUAGUCUCAUUAAACAAUAAUGCAGCCCCAAAAAUUAUAGUCUGCUUGUGAUGGUUGGUUCCCAGGAGCGGAGCAAAAGGUAUUUCAAACUUAUUAGUCUGAAACAUGGUGUCAAAAGACACGGCAUCACCAAAACAUGUGUAAUCCAUGAUAGAUUGACCGUCCGCCCAAAAGAAGUUAGCCAUCCUGCCAUCUUCUUCAUCUAUUUGAAUGGCAUAAAAAAAUGUUGGAUCCUCUAUCUGCUUAUUUUUUAAGUAUUCCAACAAUGUUUAUGCGUCAUUGGAUUCUAAGUAUUUUCUGCGCUGCCGACCAAUCUCAUUGUUACAAUCAAUCCGUGAGAAUAGCACUUUGUCAGCUCCUCCAUAAAAUUGCACCAUAAACUCAAACACUUGGGCUGGCUUCAUCCCGCCCUCCCUCAUGUGGCCAAUUAGCUUCUUGUCCGCUUCCUGAACACGUCGUUGGGACCUAAGCUUCUGUCUUUUAUUUGGACUUGCAAGGUAAUGGUUGUGAUCAAGCACAACCUUCUGCACUGAUCAAACCCCCUCCUUGUAGUGUCCUUUGAUGACUCAAUUUGUCUAUGACCUUGACUACUGCAAACCAUAUAUUUGAGAUAGAUACUGCCAUCUCUUCGACACUUUGUGUCGCUCUUUCUAAUACUGAACCCAACCUUGCCUGCAUAGGUGUUGUACAUAUCAUAAGCUUCCUCCUCGGAUUGAAAAGACAUUCCAACUUCAGGAACGAUGAAAUAAUUUUCCGCAACCUUGCCUGCAUAGGUGUUGUACAUACCAUAAGCUUCCUCCUCGGAUUGAAAAGACAUUCCAACUUCAGGAACGAUGAAAUAAUUUUCCGCAACUUCAUCAACUACGUGUUGUACAAUAAGUCAAGAAUUAAAGGUGCCUUACAACAAUACAUACUAUUAUACUAUCACUUCAAUUUGUUAUUCACGUGCCUUCAAUUACCUCAUCCGACCCCUGAUCACCGUUACUAUCGCUUGCUCCGUCGCUGCUGCCCAGCAGGGCAUGCUCCAACGACUCCACCUCCAGACCUGAUGGUGCCAUAUGGAUCGCAGGGUCGCCGCCACUUGAUUCUGUACGCGCGACAGCUCAAACACUAGGCGGCGAUAAUACGAAAGACAAGAGCUCCUGCAUGUGGUGACUCCGUGAGUAGAAAAUGAUUCCACGAAGGAUAAGAACAUGAUCUCGAUUCCCGAUCACCUGUCGGGCUGUCACUCCACGGAUCAUGUGCAUGCGCGGAUGCGCAUGUGUCUCGUGCUGACUUUGUUUUGUCGCCCCCUACUGAUAGCGCAUCUUUGCCGUUGUUUAAGGAAAUAUCUUAACAAUUUAAUAAGAUGUUUAAAAAAGAUAAAUUCUUCCAUUUUAAAAUGCCUUAAGUCCGGAAUUUGCACCGCCAGUGACUGAGGUGUCCCCAUAACACACCAACCACAAAUUCUAAAUUGUAGGUUCCGCAAUCAUCCCUUCAAAAUAAUAUGAAAACUUGAAAAGUAGAGCCCACUUAGUCGAGCCACAUACUCCAUCCGUUCUAAAUUGUAAGUCAUUUUGAUCUUUUUAGAUUCGUAGAUAUUAUUAUGCAUCUAGACAGACACUAUAUUUAAAUGCAUAGCAAACUAUGCACCUAUAACUGUCAAAACGACUUGCAAUUUGAAAUGGUGGGAGUAUUUUAGUUUUAGAUUACUGCGUACUGAUGAACUUGUCAUUCAUCCGACGGGGUCGAGUUAUACUCGUUGCGCAACAUAUUUUGAAGAAAUUAAAUCAUUUUUUUUUCAAAAAUUCGAAUAGAGAUGACUUCUAUACUAAAAUUUCAGUUUUCGAAUGGGAUGAUUGUUUUUAAAUUUUGUGACUGAUGGUUUUAAAUUUCUUGCGUUUGGUGACAUUUGAAUGCUGAAAUCCAUGAUUCGGAACAAAUAAAAUCUGACUGACAGACUGACAACGCACCAAGCUAGGGUAGGGUGUUUGGAUACUUAGGUGCUAAACUUUAGCAGUAUCACAUCGAAUGUUCGGUUGCUGAUUAGGAGGACUAAAUAUGAGCUAAUUAUAAAACUAAUUGCAGAAUUCCUAGGCUAAUUCGCGAGACGAAUCUAUUAAACCUAAUUAAUUCAUCAUUAGCAAAAUGGUUACUGUAGCAUCACAUUGUCAAAUCAUGGACUAAUUAGACUUAAUAGAUUCGUCUCGCGAAUUAGACUCCAUCUGUACAAUUCGUUUUGUAAUUAGACUAUAUUUAAUACUUCUAAUUAGUAUCCAAACAUCCGAUGUGACAGGUGCUAAACUUUAGCGGGUGGUAUGCAAACUUAAGUUUGAGGCAAAUUUCACCCUGAACUCUGAGACAGUUUAUACUAUUUAUGUCAAGUGAAAACUUUUAAGCUUCGAGCAGAGUUCAGACAUUAAAAACACAAAUUAUGCACUUCGCCACAAGUACUACUUCUACAGACUACAGAGACAUCAUAUGCGUGACAAGCUUAUCAAUGGCAAGGCACGACGACCCGCCCUUGCCGGUGCACUCCGCUGACGCCUUCUUCAGCUCGCCGGCCCUCUUCCUCAUCCCGGCACCGUCGCUCUCAGUCAUGAGCCGCCGGAUUGCUUCCUCCACGCUUCCCCUCUCGAGCUCGCCGGACACCUCGAAGCCCACCUCCCACACGUGCUCCACGUACCUCGCGUUCCCCAUCUGGUCGCCGAAGUAGGGGCGGCACAGCAUCGGCACCCCCUCGCAGAUGCUCUCCGUCGUCGAGUUCCAACCGUUGUGCGUCCAGAACCCGCCCACGGCGCGGUGGCGCAGCACCUCCUCCUGCGGCGCCCACCCCACCACCAUGCCGCGCCCGCGCGUGGCGGCCUCAAACCUCUCCGGCAAAUGGUUCUCCGCGCAGCCGCCGACAAGGCCCGGCCGGACCACCCAGAGGAACGGCACGCCGCUGCCGGCGAUGCCCCAUGCUGUCUCCUCCAGGUCCCGCGGGCUCAUGCAGGCCAGGCUGCCGAAGCUCACGUAGAGCACCGACGCCGGCGGCCACGCGUCUAGCCACUCCAGGCAGCUCCGGUCCUGGCACAGCAGGCUGCUGUCGCUGGCGGGGUAGAACUUGUGCAGCGGGCCGAUGUCGAACACCGGCACGGCGAGGUCCUGCCGGAGGCCCUCCAGCUCGCGGCGCUCGAGCGCGUCGAACGUAUUGAGUAUGAGGGCCGACGAGGCCUUCACCGCCGCCACGGCGCGCGCCAUCAUCUCGCACUCCACCUCGUGGCCGUCCUUGCCGAUGUGGAUCAGGUCGCGCACUCGGUACGGCGGCAGCUCCACCACCGGCGUGUCGAGCUGUGAAUCUGCAGGGACGAAACACGAGCACGUUGAUCCAUGGAUCACGUGGGCAUGAACUUGGUAGGCUACAAACAAGUACUUGAAGAGGAGGGCGUGCCUUGCACGGGGAGGUAGCCUUUCUCGCAUAGCAUCGGGUAGGCGGUGAAGCACGCGAAGGAGACCGCGCUGCCGGUGCGCAGCGCCAGCGUGGGUACGCCGAGGCAAUUGGCCGCCUGGAAAAUCGGCAGCAGGUGCGCGUCGGCGACGAGGCACGCGACGGCGUCCCUGGAGUACUCCUCCAGGACGGCGGCGAGGCGGUCCCGGAAGGCGGCCUCGCACGCGCCGCCGAUCGAGACGAUAUGCACUACGACGUCCUCGGUGGCGACGGGCGCGGGGCCGGACAUGCCGUCGGGGACGGGGACGAAGCGGUAGUGCGGGUGGCGCGCCGGGUCCGGGGCGUUGAAGUGGGUGUGGAAGACGGUUACGGCGAAGCCGCGCGCGUGGAGGACGCCGGCGAGCCGGAACAUGGGGUUGAUGUGGCCCUGGUACGGGAGCGGGAACAGGAGCACGUGCCGGUGGCGCCCGCCGUGGUUGGCGUUGAUCUCUGCGGCCAUGGUUGGCGCCGAUGGUGGUGUCAUCGCUUUGCUGAGUGUGAGGCAAGGAUGGGCGAGAUCAGCGGGACCCAGCAACAACCUUCGGGGUUGUGACUUGUGAGUGGCUGUUUGUCCUUGACGGCCAGUGAACGCUGCUGCUCUGUUCUGCUCGUACAACCUACGGGGUUGUCGGUGGCUGUUACGUGUUUGCAACCACAUUUUUUGUUUGCAACCACGUAUAAUGUUGGUUUUAAUCCAUCGUAAACAUGCUUGGCUGUAUUAUAUACUACAAUAUCGGAUUUACAUCGUAACUCAACAUUAGUUUCCUUAUUGCUCAGUCAACCAGGAAAGUGGGUGGAAAAAUCCUUUUGCAUACAAAAUGCCAUAGGAGGGGAUUAAAACUUGUGGUAAUGCACAUAUGGGUAUUUUUGUCUUUUCCUAUCAAAUUGUGUCAUAGAAGGUAUAAAACUUGGAGACGGUGACAAAUAAGGAAUAUUGAAAUUAGAUGUUAUAUAAAAAAUUGGUCUAUCUUCUAAUGUCACGCAGAGAAUUUUCUCUAGUUAAACACGUCCCUUCUAAUAAUUCCAAAACGAUAGAGAGUAUUUUUUUUGGGACGUGAAACACGCAGGCUGAUUCUGACGGAUAUCGUUCGGUCGUGGGCUGAUCGAGUUGCCUCUUGUGUUUUUCUUUCUUUCUUUUUAUGCGAGCGAGUGCGCGUGUGCGCGUUUUGAAGAACUUUUUGCGCGUGUUGGGUUACCAAACGAGCUGCCUGCCGGUGCCGUCACCCAUCGGGGCAUGCCGACCAUGACGCGAUCGGCAGGCGUAUCACUAUUCUGUUUCGCGGAACGGCAGAUGAUUCCAUGAAGGAUAAGAACAUGAUCUCGAUUCCCGAUCAUCUGUCGGGCUGUCUCUCCACGGAUCAUGUGCAUGCGCGGAUGCGCCUGUGUCUCGUGCUGACUUUGUUUUGUCGCCCCCUACUGAUAGCGCAUCUUUGCCAUUGUUUAAGGAAAUAUCUUAACAAUUUAAUAAGAUGUUUAAAAUAGAUAAUUUCUUCCAUUUUAAAAUGCCUUAAGUCCGGAAUUUGCACCGCCAGUGACUGAGGUGUCCCCAUGACACACCAACCACAAAUUCUAAAUUGUAGGUUACUGUAGCGGAGCUGUCCAACUUAAACUGGUUUAAAUACGUCUAAUUACUGUCGGAACAGCAAUUAUCCAUAACGCACUUAAAACAGCAUAAGUCCGGUAGUCCGUCGAGUGUCCCUGGGACUUCUCGAAGGAUCCACGACGUGUCUCAUAGCCAUACACCAGGAUCGCUUCCACGAUGGGAAAGCAUCAACAAACAUUACAUUUUUACAUACAUACCGGGGUACGAAUUAUUACAGACCAUAGUUUGAAACAAACUUAAUAGUGCAGGUUAGAGCGGUUCUAAGAGUUUAAAACAUAAACCAGUCCAGGUGAAAGAUAAACAUCUAAGUUUUAUUUCUAGGGUAUUACGAGUCUUGUAAAAAUACCCUAGUUCUUCGGGGCUUCCUCCUCGGUGGACUCCUACUGAGGCUCUCAAAUAGCAACGAGGGAUAACCCUGAGUACGGAGUAUUCAACAAGACCAACCCGACUAACUAAUAUAAUAGCUUUUGUGGAACUGCAUGCUAGCUGUUUAGUGUACUGGCUGACUCACAUUUUUGCCAAAAGAGCUUACUAAAAGUGAAACCUUAACUUUGUCUUUUAAUUCAAUUUGAGUUGUUACUUAACCAGUCUAGAUGGCGAAAAAGAAAUAUUUUUGCAACCAGUAGGAAAUUAAGUCAUACAACAUAUUAAUUUCAGAAAGACAUUGCAUACAUGAGAUUACACUACGAUGCUUAACAGUAAUCAAGCGCAUUCAUAACUAAGAAUUGCAGCGAUCCGGAUCAAUUACAUUCUGCAGGAGAGCACCCUGACCACCAGUUACGUACAACUGUCCAGGUUGUACGUAACGACCCGUCGAUUAGCGUACCCAAAGAUUGGGAAUAAGACUACCCGAACUCAGGGACGCACCCCCACAUGGGACCCCACGUCUGGCCCGAUCUCCAUGUGAGUUUUAGGCUACGCCCCUGCCAUUCUCCAGCAUGUCAAGCACGGGUACGAAAUAUUCCCGAUCAGAAAGUCUACUAACCUCCCGGGCUUUACUGGUCCCAUACCCAGUAAGCAACCAGGUGACAUUCACUUGAUCAAAGAUUAAGACAAUGAUCGGGCCUUAACCAAAUUAAUCUAGCAGACAGAACUAACAUCUCUAGCUUCUGCCGACUUUUCAAAUUUCCAAGCUAACUUCCCUCAACUAGUAUGUAUGACCCAACAAUUUACCUUAAGGCUAAGUAACCAAGUUACUUAAAGCAUCUAAGCAUUCCUAAGCAUGGGUUAAUUACUAAUUAUUGAACAAGUGGCAAAGAUGUCCUUAUAACAAGGUAGGAUCAUGCACAAGAAUAGGUUUCAAUCAACUCCUAGACUUAAUGCAUUCAUCUGAAGAAUAACCAGUAAUUGGACACAUGAAAUAAUAACUUUCAAAUAGAUAGGUAUAGACGCAUCGGGGCUUACCUUGAUCUGUAAAAAUGUUAGCGUUGUCCGACGGACUGGCUUCACAGGGGAUCAAUUCAACGAUCUCCUCAAAUUCUGAAGGUCCUUCAGAUAAUUCCAAGAAUUCCCCUUCUGGUGCUUCGGUAUCUACGAUAUAGUACAUGCAGGGGUUAAUGAUGCAAUUUUUUGAAUACAAGACUAUACAACUUUCCUUCAUGAUAAAGUUACAAGCCAACAAGUGACUACACAACUUCUCAUGAUAAAGUUGCAAGCCAACACACAAAAACCCGAAAAGAUUAACCCACCAUUUUUAUUUCCUUUACUAAUCCUACCUUAAGCCUUUUCUUUUAUUUUUAGAAAACAUUAUAAAUAUUUUCUAACCUCAAAACCUAACUCCUAUGGGUUAAUGAUAAUUUGUGAAUAUGAAACCAUUAUUCACUAUUUUAUGCAUUUAAUAAAGGUUAAGUAUUUAUUUAAAUACUUUAAUGAAAAGGCAUUAAAUAAAUACCUAAAUUUUAUUAUUUUUCCUAAGGUAUAAUAAUUUUAAUGCAUAAAUAAAAAUAAAACAAUCCUAACAAAAUUGGUUUCACUAAUUUUGGACACUCCUAGAAAUUUCUAUGAUUUAAAUGGUGCAACUGAAUUUAAUCUAUUUAUCUAAUAAAAUAAAAACCUAGAUUUAUCCCUAAACCCCCGGCCCAAACUUUUCUCACCCGCCUCCUCUCUACCCUCUCUCACUCGCGUUGGGCCCGUGGUACUGGUCCACCUUCUCCCCCUCUCUCUCUUACCCACCGGCCCACUCCUCUCACUGCCGGGCUACUGGGCUGAUUCUACUUCCUCUCCCUCCUUCCUGUUCUUCUUGCCGGCCCACCGGCCCACCUUACUCCUUUUCCUCCACCCUGGCGCCCUGGCCUGCUGGACCGGCCCACGUUCCUCUCCUUCACCCGCCGACCCUCCUAACCUUUUCGUCUUCUCCUUCUAACGCGCGGGCCCCCGGCGCCAGCUCCUUCUCCUUCCUCGCGCCAAAACAGAGCGCGGCAGGGGACGGCACGGCCCGACGUCCGGCGCCCCACCGGCGAUGGGGCCGGGCUGGGGAGGCAUCCCCAAGCCACAGCGCACCCGUAGGCGGCGGCGGCUCCCCGGGAGACGGUCGGAGCUAGCCUCUCCACGGCGGCGGGUAGCUUGACUGACGGCCGACCGUGGCCAAGCACGGCAACGGCACCGCUCGGUCCUUUUAACUACCUCUAAAGCUCCCUAGCGACCUACGAACCUACGUAGAACUGAACACACGAAGAGAGAUAGGCGGCAAGGAGAAGCUCACCGUGAGCAGGGAGUCAGGCGGCGGCAGACGAAAACGGCGGCGGCUAAGAGCUCGCCGGCGGGGAAGUUGGACAACGAGUAGGCAUGGUGGUCAGGAAGGUGUUGGUGGGGAUGUGGGUGAAAGGAAUCGAGGUGGGAGGUAGUGAAACGGCGGGAAUCGGCCGACGGCAGGGGCUUUGCUUACGACGGUAAAAACGGUGGCGCAGUAAAACAGAUGAGAGCGGCGGCGGGAGGAGUAAUUAUACAAAAAUUUCACCGCACGCAUGGGCGACACCGUGGCCUAGCUGUAGACUUGCGUGGCGAGGAGGUGGCCCUAGGCGCCGAGCUGGAUGACGGGCAAUGUUGCCAGCGGCGACACGUCUCUGUCCUGCUGUUCUGCUCGCUUCCUUCCCCUUUCUUUCAGUCCGAAAAUUCAGACCUUCCAACCGGUCGAUUUUGAAUCCUACGGUUCAAGAGCCCCUUAAGUAAAGUUGGAGAUAAACUCGAGCACUUUAAUUUAUAUAUUGGCUCUUACUCGAGAUAAACAUCCCAAAGGUCGGAAUUUUGAGUUUUUCUCUCGGGCAGACUGAAAUGUUCUGAAUCCCUCGAUUCAGUUCAACAGUUACUGUUCCUGGUCAUUUACCCUUCUUUGGUCUUGAUUUGAGUAGCUAAUUCUUGAUCCAUUUCGUUCAACCAUUAGCCAUUCAUGCUCUACAACUAACGGGGGUUCCAUUUUGCCCAUAAACACAUAUACCUCUUGCACUACAUUUCUUUGAAUUUUGCUCCAAACAUGGUCAAUUGCUGCUGUUUUCUGACUUAGAAAAAUCCAAUUCAGUAGCUAGGCCGAACUGCCUAAGUGCUGACUUUGAGUCUCGAUUUAAAUCUGAUCCCUUCACUGUUCCUGAUCAACAACACCCUACUAAUCUUGUCCAAGGAUCAUACUCCACUGCUGUUUAGAUACUUUUGUCCACUAACUUGGAAAAUUAGGCAGAAAUCAAUUUCCAAGUUGGAUACUUGUAAUGUUUUUCUGAAUUUCCUGUUUUCGGACAGGGAAUAGUACUCUUUUGAUUUUAGUUUUCAAUUGCAUUUCUUGAGGAGUUUAGGACUUGAUUUAGUGUCCAAUUUCAUUCCCUUGAGUUCUAAACUUCCUCAAGCCUCAACUUCAUAUUUUUGCUAAAUUUUUCCGAAUUUAAAACUCCAAGUUGCAAUUUUGUCUAAAUUCGGCUCAAAUUUGACUUUGAGUCAAUUUCUUUCCUUUUACUCCAAACAUCAUUACCAACUUCUCAUUGGUAUCUUUAGGCUGUCAAUAACACGAGAUGUUACAGUUACGCAAUCAUCCCUCCAAAAUAAUAUGCAAACUUGAAAAGUAGAGCCCACUUAGUCGAGCCACAUACUCCAUCCGUUCUAAAUUGUAAGUCGUUUUGAUCUUUUUAGAUUCGUAGAUAUUAUUAUGCAUCUAUACAUACACUAUAUUUAAAUGCAUAGCAAACUAUGUAUCUAUAAAAGUCAAAACGACUUGCAAUUUGGAAUGGUGGGAGUAUUUUAGUUUUAGAUGACUGUGUGCUGAUGAACUUGUCAUUCAUCCGACGGUCGAGUUAUACUCGUUGCGCAACAUAAUUUGAAGAAAUUAAAUCAUAUUUUUUUUUCAAAAAUUCGAAUAGAGGUGACUUCUAUACUAAAAUUUCAGUUUUCGAAUGGGAUGAUUGUUUUUAAAUUUUGUGACUGAUGGUCUUAAAUUUCUUGCGUUUCGUGACAUUUGAAUGCCGAAAUCCAUGAUUCGGAACAAAUAAAAUCUGACUGACACACUGACAACGUACCAAGCUUGGGUGUUUGGAUACUUAUGUGCUAAACUUUAGCAGUGUCACAUCGGAUGUUCGGUUGCUGAUUAGGAGGACUAAAUAUGAGCUAAUUAUAAAACUAAUUGCAGAAUCCCUAGGCUAAUUCGCGAGACGAAUCUAUUAAACCUAAUUAAUUCAUCAUUAGCAAAUGGUUACUGUAGCACCAUAUUGUCAAAUCAUGGACUAAUUAGACUUAAUAGAUUCGUCUCGCGAAUUAGACUCCAUCUGUGCAAUUAGUUUUGUAAUUAACCUAUGUCUAAUACUUCUAAUUAGUAUCCAAACGUCCAAUAUGACAGGUGUUAAACUUUAGCGGGUCGUAUCCAAACACCCACUAAAUUUCAAGCAAAUUUCACACUGAACUCUGAGACAGUGUAUACUAUUUAUGUCAAGUGAAAACUUUUAAGCUUCGAGCAGAGUUCAGACUACAGAGACAUCAUAUGCGUGACAAGCUUAUCAAUGGCAAGGCACGACGACCCGCCCUUGCCGGUGCACUCCGCUGACGCCUUCUUCAGCUCGCCGGCCCUCGUCCUCAUCCCGGCACCGUCGCUCUCAGUCAUGAGCCGCCGGAUUGCUGCCUCCACGCUUCCCCUCUCGAGCUCGCCGGACACCUCGAAGCCCACCUCCCACACGUGCUCCACGUACCUCGCGUUCCCCAUCUGGUCGCCGAAGUAGGGGCGGCACAGCAUCGGCACCCCCUCGCAGAUGCUCUCCGUCGUCGAGUUCCAGCCGUUGUGCGUCCAGAACCCGCCCACGGCGCGGUGGCGCAGCACCUCCUCCUGCGGCGCCCACCCCACCACCAUGCCGCGCCCGCGCGUCGCGGCCUCAAACCUCUCCGGCAAAUGGUUCUCCGCGCAGCCGCCGACAAGGCCCGGCCGGACCACCCAGAGGAACGGCACGCCGCUGCCGGCGAUGCCCCAUGCUGUCUCCUCCAGGUCCCGCAAACUCAUAGAGGCCAGGCUGCCAAAGCUCACGUACAGCACCGACUCCGGCGGCCACGCGUCUAGCCACUCCAGGCAGCUCCGGUCCUGGCACAGCAGGCUGCUGUCGCCGGCGGGGGAGAACUUGUGGAGCGGUCCGAUGUCGAACACCGGCACGGCGAGGUCCUGCUGGAGGCCCUCCAGCUCGCGGCGCUCGAGCGCGUCGAACGUGUUGAGUAUGAGGCCCGACGAGGCCUUCACCGCCGCCACGGCGCGCGCCAUCAUCUCGCACAGCACCUCGUGGCCGUCCUUGCCGAUGUGCAUC